AAUAGAUACCCAGGUAGUCCACGCCGUAAACGAUGAGUGCUAGGUGUCACGGGCUUUGACCCUCGUGGUGCCGAAGCUAACGCGUUAAGCACUCCGCCUGGGGAGUACGGCCGCAAGGCUAAAACUCAAAGGAAUUGACGGGGGGCCCGCACAAGCGGUGGAGCAUGUGGUUUAAUUCGACGCAACGCGCAGAACCUUACCUGGGCUAGAAAACACAGGAACCUGGGUGAAAACUCGGGGUGCCCUUCGGGGAACCUGUGGUUAGGUGCUGCAUGGCUGUCGUCAGCUCGUGUCGCGAGAUGUUGGGUUAAGUCCCGCAGCGAGCGCAACCCCUGCCGUUAGUUGCCAGCAUUCAGUUGGGCACUCUAACGGGACUGCCGACCUUUAAGUCGGAGGAAGGUGGGGAUGACGUCAAGUCCUCAUGGCCCCUAUGUCCAGGGCUACACACGUGCUACAAUGGUCGGUACAAAGGGUCGCGAACCCGCGAGGGGGAGCCAAUCCCAAAAAGCCGACCUCAGUACGGAUAGGAGUCUGCAACUCGACUCCUUGAAGGCGGAAUCG
This 561-nucleotide ribosomal RNA is filed under the name uncultured bacterium. RNAcentral's name for it is "bacterial SSU rRNA". It matches the Rfam family "Bacterial small subunit ribosomal RNA", at positions 777 to 1334 of the family's 1533-position model. The record is from RNAcentral.